Molecule: non-coding RNA, 1777 nt
Organism: Peromyscus maniculatus bairdii (prairie deer mouse)
Lineage: Eukaryota; Metazoa; Chordata; Mammalia; Rodentia; Cricetidae
Source: RefSeq, a predicted model, not a curated record
UUGGCACAGAGGCUGUGUCACAGAGUGUGGAUCACCGCCCCGCCCCCCUCCACACACACCCAGAAAACCUGUGAGAGUCAGAAUCCCCUUCGCUCGCUGGAAUUGAAAGUUGUCCCGUCCAUGCCUGCCUACCUGCUGCCAUGUUCUCCGCCAUGACGGUCAUGGACUCUACCACCCUCUGCAACUGUACUGGAUUAUAAACAUGAACCACUAUGCCCAGUUUAUGAAGUGCUGGCUGGAGAUGGAAUGCAGGGCUUCCCCCAUGAUGGCAAGCACUAUGCCAGCUGAACCACAUCUCCAGUGCAGAUUGCCAUAUUUUCCCGUGGAUCUACAGGUACACACCGCAUAUCCAACCAAUCUUACUUUCAGCUUCUCAUCUCAGUAGCUACUUUUAUUUGGGGAAGUUUCAAUAUUGAGGGGGGGGGGAUGCUGUAGGUGACUGUGUUUGGAUAUGACCGACCAGAGACAUUGAGAAUUCAGGCCACCUGUGUUUUCAAUGGUUCCGAGACAUUAAAAAUAGAAAAGAUACCACAACAGGGGUGCAUAUCAUCAGUGGAUUUAAAAUAUUUACAUUUAAUAAAUCCCCACAUUGACACUCAAACUCUAGUGUUUAUAUAACUUCAUUUGGGGAAAAAAAAAACAUGUUAAAAGUCUAAACUCCAGGCUCUUCUGGGUGUGAGAUCCAGCCACUCUCUUUCCGGUUCCUGAUUCACACUCAUAUUAUGCCAGAAAAAGCACUGGUUAUAGGGAGGGCGGGUGUGUGUGGCUGAGCAGGCAGCUCAGAGGUACUUCAGUGUUCUGAGGAACCUCUUCACACCCAAGCACAAUUGGUCAUUGGCUACAAACCCUGUGGUCACAGGAAACAGUUCUCAGCAAGACAGAGGUAUCUGAAAGGCUUACUGGAAAGGCAUUAAAUCCGUUUGUUUCUAUAAAGUGUGUCUGCCCCAUGACAUCCGGAGGACUCCGAUGGGAGCAGGGGACAUAGUUCAGGGGGCAAAGUGCUUGUUGUGUAAACACAAGACCUGGGUUCCAUACCUAGGUCCCACGUAAAAGGAAAGCUGUGUGUGGUGAGGCUUGACUAACCCUAGUGCUGCGGAGGAAGACAGGUGGACCCCUGAGGCCUCCCGGCCAGCCAGCCUCUCCUAUUUGGUGAGCCUCAGGCCAGUGAGACACAGUGUCUCAAUAAAUACGGUGGACAGCAUUUCUGAGGAACAGUGCUGAAGGUUGUCCCACACGUGGAUGGACACGUGAGCGUGCAUGCCACCCUUUUACACCUGUGCCUUCUCGAAAUCACCAACCUCACCUCCAUGCACACUGCUACUGGACCCUGUCCUUUCCUUGACAUGCCUAAGGAUAGGCGCUUCCAACGGUGUGACUAUUAGGGUUCAGGGUCACAGGUUGUCACUUUAUAUUCUGAUAUUUCUGAAGGUAAAGCAGGAGGAAGAGGGACUGGGUAGAUGACCCGGUCUGUGGAAGGCCUGCUGCACAAGCAUGAGGAGCUGAGUUUGGAUCCCCAGAACCCAUGCAAAACGGGAUGUGGCAAUGUGAGUCACACUGGGGAGAGGCAGGUGGACACAGAGGGUCCCUGGGGCUUGAUGACCUGUCAGUCAAGUUGAUUAGCAAGCUCCAGGGUCAGUGAGAGCCCCUGUCUCAAAACGUGGAGUUGAGAGUGAUGAAGAUGCCCUCUAAUGUUCUCUGGCCUUCAUGUGCACAUGCACACAUGCACAGAUACACAUAAGCACAUAUAUACCACACACACUUAAACAAACAAAACAAA